UACAGAGGGUGCGAGCGUUAAUCGGAAUUACUGGGCGUAAAGCGUGCGUAGGUGGUUGUGUAAGUUAGAUGUGAAAAGCUUGGGCUUAACCUGAGAUGGUCAUCUAAGACUGCAUAACUCGAGUGUAGGAGAGGGGAGCAGAAUUUCCGGUGUAGCGGUGAAAUGCGUAGAUAUCGGAAGGAAUACCGGUGGCGAAGGCGGCUUUCUGGCCUAAGACUGACACUGAGGCACGAAAGCGUGGGGAGCAAACAGG
RNAcentral lists this ribosomal RNA (253 nucleotides) under uncultured bacterium. Its description in RNAcentral is "partial 16S ribosomal RNA". It matches the Rfam family "Bacterial small subunit ribosomal RNA", at positions 524 to 776 of the family's 1533-position model. The record is from RNAcentral.